GCUGGGGCAUGGUGGUGUGCCUAUAGUCCCAGCUACUCAGGAGGCUGAGACAGGAAGAUCACUUUGGUCCAGGAGCUCUGGGCUAUAGUGCCCUUUGCCAAUCAGUUGUCCACACUAAGUUUUGCAUCAAUAUGGUGACCUACUAGGAGCAGGGCACCACCAGGUUUCCCUAGUAUCAGUGAACGAUCCCCCAUUGGAAAUGGAGCAGGUCAAAAUUCCUGUGUUGAUCAGUAGUGGGAUUGCACCUGUGACUAGCCACUGCACUCCAGCCUUUGCAACAUAAUGAGACCUCUU
Molecule: unclassified non-coding RNA, 294 nt
Organism: Callithrix jacchus (white-tufted-ear marmoset)
Lineage: Eukaryota; Metazoa; Chordata; Mammalia; Primates; Cebidae
Rfam family: Metazoan signal recognition particle RNA
About the family: The signal recognition particle (SRP) is a universally conserved ribonucleoprotein. It is involved in the co-translational targeting of proteins to membranes.
Source: Ensembl